Salvia miltiorrhiza (redroot sage) is the source of this 845-nucleotide long non-coding RNA. RefSeq lists it as uncharacterized. NCBI's taxonomy places the organism in Eukaryota, Viridiplantae, Streptophyta, Magnoliopsida, Lamiales, Lamiaceae. The record is from RefSeq and is a predicted model, not a curated record. The transcript has 2 exons.
UAGUAAAGAAUAGAGAAUACACCUAUGCCAUCCGAUCCACUAGAUCCUAUGGCUGCCUUUUAUUCAGAUUUUGAUUAUUAAAAAAACGUGGCAUUAAAUUACUUGAAUUUUUAUUGUAUGUAAGGGUUUAUUCGGAAAUUUAAUCACGCAAGUAAAUCUGGAAGAUUUGGGUUCUUCCGCAUUUCACUCCUCCACUACUCUUCAAAAUUUUUGUGGAGAUUAGGGCAUUACGAUUCCGAAUAAGGUUGAAGUUCAUCGUGUUUCUGCAUAAUCAUCCUUGUUUCGGCGCACCAACAGGGCGCCGCCCCCUUUCUCAUGCCGGCGCCGCCUCCCCUUGCCGCCACAGUCGGCACCACGACCACCGACUUCGCCCCACCCGCCUCUCUCUCAAACCAUAAAUUCUCAAAUUUUUCUCUGACUCCAUCUCAUUCGAUCUUAGGCAACGAUGUCGCCAUCGCCGAUGCGCCGCCGUCUUCGCCUGGACCUCCUUUGUCCAUGACUGAACAGCAGCGGCGGAGCAUAGGGAAGCUUCAGCCCUUGCGCUCCUAUAUCGUAAUUUACGAUCAGCAGCGGCGGAAAGAUCUGAUUUUUAUUAAAGAUCCAGAAGACUUGUUCGUAGGUUGUGGAGCUCGACUUUCUUUAUCCCAGUGAAGGAAUACAUCGCAGAUGGGAAAAUUGCUGGUUUAAUUUCGUUGAGUGCUGGGAAAAAUUGUUCAUUUCUUGUUUUGCAUUGAAUAUUCGUUAUAAAUUCAGUAUAUUGUGUAGUUUAUUCUUAAAUUUUCUAUGUAUAUUCAUUAACUUUUGUAGUUUAUUCAAAUAAAUUUGAUCUUUAUUAUGUGUGGUCA